This 233-nucleotide unclassified non-coding RNA is filed under the name Podospora bulbillosa. RNAcentral describes it as "partial internal transcribed spacer region". The stretch from base 1 to 46 matches the Rfam family "Eukaryotic small subunit ribosomal RNA", at positions 1786 to 1831 of the family's 1831-position model. RNAcentral also lists the same sequence under 1 other name. The record is from RNAcentral. Lineage: Eukaryota; Fungi; Ascomycota; Sordariomycetes; Sordariales; Podosporaceae.
AAGUCGUAACAAGGUCUCCGUUGGUGAACCAGCGGAGGGAUCAUUACAGAGUUGCAAAACUCCCCAAACCAUCGUGAACCUUUACCGCUAAACAGUUGCUUCGGCGGGUGGCCCGCGGGGGCCGCCGAGCCCGCCGGAGGAAUCCAAAAAACCAUCGCUUUCAGUACCGGCCUCUCUGAGUUACUGUACUUUUAAUUAAGUCAAAACUUUCAACAACGGAUCUCUUGGUUCUG